CUUCAAACUUCCUACUUUAACGCAAAUCUUUAACUCUAGCUAGUGACACAUCGUCUUCUUUUCGUUCAUCAACUGGGUUUCUUUGGAGAAUGAUUUUUUUCAUCUUGGCCUUCAUAAAUCUGGACUCCAUGACUCUUGGUGAUUCUGUUUUUCUUGUACGCCUCUUCCAAUCAAAAAAAGCAAAAUGUUACUAGUCCAUAUAACCAUU
Non-coding RNA from Pelobates cultripes (western spadefoot toad), 208 nucleotides. NCBI's taxonomy places the organism in Eukaryota, Metazoa, Chordata, Amphibia, Anura, Pelobatidae. The record is from the annotation of a GenBank genome assembly.